This 292-nucleotide ribosomal RNA is filed under the name uncultured bacterium. RNAcentral describes it as "partial 16S ribosomal RNA". It matches the Rfam family "Bacterial small subunit ribosomal RNA", at positions 505 to 796 of the family's 1533-position model. The record is from RNAcentral.
GUGUCAGCAGCCGCGGUAAUACGUAGGGUGCGAGCGUUAAUCGGAAUUACUGGGCGUAAAGGGUGCGCAGGCGGUUAUAUAAGACAGAUGUGAAAUCCCCGGGCUCAACCUGGGAACUGCGUUUGUGACUGUAUGACUAGAGUACGGUAGAGAGGGGUGGAAUUCCUGGUGUAGCAGUGAAAUGCGUAGAUAUCAGGAGGAACAUCGAUGGCGAAGGCAGCCCCUUGGACCUGUACUGACGCUCAUGCACGAAAGCGUGGGGAGCAAACAGGAUUAGAAACCCUGGUAGUCC